Molecule: ribosomal RNA, 275 nt
Filed under: uncultured prokaryote
Description: partial 16S ribosomal RNA
Rfam family: Bacterial small subunit ribosomal RNA
Source: RNAcentral
CACGUAGGAGGCAAACGUUAUCCGGAUUUACUGGGCGUAAAGCGCGUGUAGGUGGUUCUGUAAGUAGGGCGUGAAAGCUCCCGGCUCAACUGGGAGAGGCCGUUCUAAACUGCAGAGCUAGAGGAUGGUAGAGGGAGGUGGAAUUCCAGGUGUAGCGGUGGAAUGCGCAGAUAUCUGGAGGAACACCAGUGGCGAAGGCGGCCUCCUGGACCAUUCCUGACACUCAGACGCGAAAGCUAGGGUAGCAAACAGGAUUAGAUACCCCGGUAGUCCCU